GAAUAUUGGACAAUGGGCGCAAGCCUGAUCCAGCCAUACCGCGUGGGUGAAGAAGGCCUUCGGGUUGUAAAGCCCUUUUGUUGGGAAAGAAAAGCAGCGGGCUAAUACCUUGCUGUUCUGACGGUACCCAAAGAAUAAGCACCGGCUAACUUCGUUCCAGCAGCCGCGGUAAUACGAAGGGUGCAAGCGUUACUCGGAAUUACUGGGCGUAAAGCGUGCGUAGGUGGUCGUUUAAGUCUGUUGUGAAAGCCCUGGGCUCAACCUGGGAACUGCAGUGGAAACUGGACGACUAGAGUGUGGUAGAGGGUAGCGGAAUUCCCGGUGUAGCAGUGAAAUGCGUAGAGAUCGGGAGGAACAUCCAUGGCGAAGGCAGCUACCUGGACCAACACUGACACUGAGGCACGAAAGCGUGGGGAGCAAACAGGA
RNAcentral lists this ribosomal RNA (426 nucleotides) under uncultured bacterium. RNAcentral's name for it is "bacterial SSU rRNA". It matches the Rfam family "Bacterial small subunit ribosomal RNA", at positions 359 to 777 of the family's 1533-position model. The record is from RNAcentral.